GGUACCAAUGACUUCCUAAAGGUACCCAUGACUUUCUACAGGUGCUCAUGACUUUCUACAGGUACCAAUGACUUUCUACAGGUGCUCAUGACUUUCUACAGGUGCUCAUGACUUUCUACAGGUACUCAGGACUUUCUACAGGUGCUCAGGACUUUCUACAGGUACUCAGGACUUUCUACAGGUGCUCAGGACUUUCUACAGGUACUCAAGACUUUCUACAGGUACCCAUGACUUUCUACAGGUACCAAUGACUUCCUAAAGGUACCCAUGACUUUCUACAGGUGCUCAUGACUUUCUACAGGCACCAAUGACUUUCUACAGGUGCUCAUGACUUUCUACAGGUACUCAUGACUUUCUACAGGUAUUUCUACACUUACACAUGACUUUCUACACAAGCUCACCCUGUGCUGUCCAGAUCAUGCACUGCUCUACCCUUGGCCAAUCUCCUUACUAUAAAAAAAGCCUCUUGUGUAUCAGUAAGAGAUAUAGAAUGUGAAUACUUUGCUACACUCUUAUAACCCCACAUGCUAUUCACUUUUGUUCAGUUAGUUUAUUGAUAAGCUUCCUGGUUUUGUGUCUGUUGUUAUUUGGAGCAGAAUUAACCCGUCCGCUGCGAUUGGCACUGAUUUCGCCUUCACUGGUAGCCUGGUAACAUAACUCCCAGGUCUUUCUCUGCCCCUGUGGUGGAUAGUGGAGUGUUUCCCAUGUGGUAUUGGUAUGCUGAAUAUCCCUUCAGUGGUAGCCUGGUAACAUACACUCCCAGGUCUUUCUCUGGCUCUGUGGUGGAUAGUGGAGUGUUUCCCAUGUGGUAUUGGUAUGCUGGAUAUCCCUUCACUGGUAGCCUGGUAACAUACACUCCCAGGUCUUUCUCUGCCUCUGUGGUUGAUAGUGGAGUGUUUCCCAUGUGGUAUUGGUAUGCUGGAUAUCCCUUCACUGGCAGCCU
Molecule: long non-coding RNA, 943 nt
Organism: Eriocheir sinensis (Chinese mitten crab)
Lineage: Eukaryota; Metazoa; Arthropoda; Malacostraca; Decapoda; Varunidae
Exons: 3
Source: RefSeq, a predicted model, not a curated record